RNAcentral lists this ribosomal RNA (549 nucleotides) under uncultured bacterium. RNAcentral describes it as "bacterial SSU rRNA". It matches the Rfam family "Bacterial small subunit ribosomal RNA", at positions 355 to 896 of the family's 1533-position model. The record is from RNAcentral.
UGGGGAAUUUUGGACAAUGGGCGCAAGCCUGAUCCAGCCAUGCCGCGUGUCUGAAGAAGGCCUUCGGGUUGUAAAGGACUUUUGUCAGGGAAGAAAAGGCUGUUGCUAAUACCGACAGUUGAUGACGGUACCUGAAGAAUAAGCACCGGCUAACUACGUGCCAGCAGCCGCGGUAAUACGUAGGGUGCGAGCGUUAAUCGGAAUUACUGGGCGUAAAGCGAGCGCAGACGGUUACUUAAGCAGGAUGUGAAAUCCCCGGGCUCAACCUGGGAACUGCGUUCUGAACUGGGUGACUAGAGUGUGUCAGAGGGAGGUAGAAUUCCACGUGUAGCAGUGAAAUGCGUAGAGAUGUGGAGGAAUACCGAUGGCGAAGGCAGCCUCCUGGGAUAACACUGACGUUCAUGCUCGAAAGCGUGGGUAGCAAACAGGAUUAGAUACCCUGGUAGUCCACGCCCUAAACGAUGUCAAUUAGCUGUUGGGCAACUUGAUUGCUUAGUAGCGUAGCUAACGCGUGAAAUUGACCGCCUGGGGAGUACGGUCGCAAGAUUA